UAUUUUUAAUUGACAUAGACCAAGUCCUCUAGUAAAAUGAGGAUGCUGCAUCGGGGAUAGCC
This 62-nucleotide transfer RNA is filed under the name Cyphostemma serpens. RNAcentral describes it as "partial tRNA-Phe". The record is from RNAcentral. Lineage: Eukaryota; Viridiplantae; Streptophyta; Magnoliopsida; Vitales; Vitaceae. RNAcentral also lists the same sequence under 15 other names.